UUUACUACCACGUUGAUAUUUAAUAAAAUGAUCAAGACUCAUUUGAAAGCGUUUCCCCUUUGUCCUCAUAAAUCUUAGGAGCAGAUCCUGACGGUACAGAUUGAAUUAGUCCUCCGCAAUUUGAGAGAUAGCAGCACAGAAGUAGACAACGUAGUGUUUUGUAAGCGCAUCGUAUUGCUUCUGUGCGUUAUAAUCACAAGGUCAAUAAGAAAUUAUGGCUCACUGGCCUCAUUGCUAUCGGGUCCUGUGCCUGAUUCCAAGCUGGAGUAUGCCUGGUCGGAAUCGCUGUGAGUUUUUCUGAGUUCUCCAGUGGAUCCCACCUUGCUGAGAUAUUCAGGUUAGAGAUGAUUGGCUACUCAGAGUUUACUCACUAAUUCCCAUUAUCCAACCACAUACUGUAUUUUCUCUCCAAUCCCCCAGUGCUGUAAGAGCUUGCUUUGAGGUUCUGACUACUUGGUCAUUAAAAAUCCUAUGGCACUUUUUGUAAGAAUAGGAGUUUCUGGUAUCUGAAGUCCACUCUGUUUUUGUACAAUCUGACCUACCUUAACUUCCCCAUUAAUUUGUGAUCCUAUUAAUUUCCCAUUAAAGUGAUCUUUCAUUUUUCUACCUGAUCUUCUGUGUAGUGGGACAGAAUGGCUGUAUUUCAGUGGUGGAUGAGAAGGGUUGUCUGCUAAAUAAGAGUCUCCCUGUAAAUUUAGGGAUGAAAAUGUAGGCUUUAAUAAUUUUAAUCGUGAAAGCCACUGUUGGUCUUUCAGAUGGUGAGUCCUUCUAGCAGCUAUAUUGACUACAAUAAAAUUGAUUAAUACAAAGAACAAAGUGAGAAUAUUACCUUGCA
This 835-nucleotide long non-coding RNA is filed under the name Lepisosteus oculatus (spotted gar). RNAcentral's name for it is "lncRNA (ENSLOCG00000022656.1)". The record is from RNAcentral. Lineage: Eukaryota; Metazoa; Chordata; Actinopteri; Semionotiformes; Lepisosteidae.